Bicyclus anynana (squinting bush brown) is the source of this 3821-nucleotide RNA transcript. It is a transcript of the gene named zinc finger protein 624, with no coding region annotated. The transcript is spliced from 9 exons. NCBI's taxonomy places the organism in Eukaryota, Metazoa, Arthropoda, Insecta, Lepidoptera, Nymphalidae. The record is from RefSeq and is a predicted model, not a curated record.
UGUCACGUCACGUCAAAGUCAAACUCAAACCACAAACGUCAAAUGAGGAUGGAAUUUUCGGUGUUUUGUAUUUUCUUUUCGGAAAUAUUCUUAAUUUAACUAAGUCAUGUUUAUUACUUAAGUUAGGUAAUACGUAUAACAAGAUGGACACCGCAAUAAUGGUGGAAUCCUUGCCAAUAUUCGGCACAUGCAGUUUAUGUCUAGCAGAAGGCGUUGUUAAGAGUAUGCUAAUUAAACAAAACACGGCAAAUAAAACGGAGUCCUACACUGAGAUGUUACUCAAAUGCUUUUCUAUUGAUAUGGCAGCACUGGAGCUGGAUGACACAAAGAGACUGAUAUGCUACCUGUGCAUCAAGCAGCUGGAGUCUUGUCUGCAGUUCAGAGAGCAAGUUGAGGUCUCCUUGAAGACCUUGGAGGAGACUGUCAGAGAUAAUAAGGUGCAACUGAAACUCGUAUAUGAAGACGAAUGUGUGAAAGAGGAGCAAGAUACCGACACAAAAUCAACGGAUAGAAGAAAGAAGUCUCUAAGAGAUGUGAAGAAUGAAUUAGUAUCAGCCAUCGGUCUCUCGAGAGAUAGUUUCAUUGACAACGAUUCUGAUAAUGAGCUGAUAUUCUCAAAAGUAAAACAGGAGUCUAUGGACGACAGUGACUUCGACGAUCACACGCUUCUCAACGAUAUGCUAAUAAAAAAGGAAUUAGACGACUACCCGCGUACACGGCAAAAGACGAGAAAAAAGACAUCAACCAAAAAGAGACUCUCCUACACAGCGAAAAAACAAGCGGACAUCAAAGAUACGGAAAUAAUGCUCCAAUCUGGUUUAUUUCCGUUCAAAAUAAACAAAAAUCAAAUAUACUCUUGCACUAUAUGCCCCGAAAAGUCCAGCAUACUGGACGAUAUAAAGGAUCAUAUAAUGCAACACAAUACAUCCAACAUAUCGUCCGCCUUCAAGAAAAUGAUCUCUUCCAGUAUGCAGACAUUUUACAAGUCCUCCCAAAAGUUAAAAUGCAAGUUGUGCAAAACAGAAAUACAUGAUUAUGAGUCACUCAAACGUCACAUAACUUCCUGUGUCAAUUCCCAUGCGCGAUGGAACAAUUUGCCAUUCAAAUUGGAGAAGGAUCAGUUGGAUUGUCCCAUUUGUCAGAAGACAUUUUUGAAUUUCGUCAGUUUGAACACACACAUGAAUGUACAUUAUCCGAAUCACAUUUGCGACAGCUGUGGGAAGGCUUUCGCGUCCAAAGCCAGGCUCAGAGGGCAUAUGCGGACGCAUGAAAUUGGCGAUUUUCCAUGCAGGUAUUGUGAUGCAGUCUUCGAUAGAGUCACCAAAAGGGAGAAUCACGUUUCUAAGGAACACAAAUCAGGAAUCAGGUACGCUUGCAAACGGUGUAACAUAUCACUGACAUCAUUCUACGCAAGACAGAAGCAUCUAGCAGAAGUCCACAACGAAGAGCUGAAGCGAUACAAAUGCAAGGCCUGCCCUCAGAGCUACAUCACUCCGGGACACCUCUCCUCCCACGUCCGGAGGGACCAUCUCAACGAGAGGAACCACAAAUGCAACCAGUGUGAUCUGGCAUUUUACACGAGGAACUCCUUGAAGAUGCACAUGAUCAAGCACGAUGGGGAACGGAUCCAUGCAUGCAGUAUAUGCAACAAGUCGUACCAGAGGAAGAAGACGUUGAGGGAACAUAUGCGAAUACAUACGAAUGAUAAAAGGUUUGUCUGCCCUGUCUGUGGUAGGGCUUUCACUCAGAAGUGCACUUUGAAAGGGCAUUUGAAGGUCCACGAUAGGAAGAUAGAGGAAAAGAUUCCUCAACCUUUACACUCCAUUUAAUUUAUUAUUAUUCACAACAUUAUUUCUUUUCGAAUAAAAAAAUAAUUCAUACAUACAAUAAAAGGUUUAUCUGCCCUGACUAACACACAAAAGCUGUUUCAAGUUAGUUUAGUACUCGCUAUUUUAGGAGACUGUGUAAACCUACAUUUGAAUGAUAAAAGGUUUGUGUGCCCUGUCUGCGGUAGGGCUUUCACUCAGAAGUGCACUUUGAAAGGGCAUUUGAAGGUCCAUGAUAGGAAGAUAGAGGAGAAAAUCCCUCAACCUUUACACUCCAUUUAAUUUAUCAGCAUUUUCCAGUUUUCAUUUAAAAUUUUUGGGGAAACAAAAAUUCAUACAAACAUCAAAAGGUUUGUUUAGAAACAAUAAUUCAUACAACAAAAGGUUUGUCUGCCCUGGCUAACACACAAAAUCUACUCCAAGUCAGUUUAGUACUCGUUAUUUUAGGGGAUCGAGUAAACCUACUUCUGAAUGCAAAAAGGUUUGUGCCACCUGUUUGCAGUAGUGUUUCCAUAUUGAAUUGCUCUAGCAUUUAUGGAGAAACAUGUAAAAAUACAUACGGUUUGUGUGCCCUGUCUAUGGUAGGAAGAUCAUAAUAAAGGAAAGGGUAUUUCAAACUUUACACUCCAUUUGAUUUAUCAGCACAAAAAUUCAUAUGAACGAUGAAAGGUUUGUCUGCCCUGGCUACCACACAAAAGCAACUUUUUUACUACCAAGUCUAGAAGUUUUAGGAAGCAUUUAAAAAUACAUACAACUGCUGACGGUAAUAAAAUUAUAUAAAUAAAUAAGCUUAUAUUUAUAGGUAAUAAAAAAAGUUACUUAUAUAAAACCUUAUAUAAUACGUAAUAUGUAAUAGAGUAUGAAAUAAUAAAUAUUUAUUGUUUAUAGCAUCUCAUUAUAACUAUGUAGAAAUUAUUUUUGUCCAUCUCAUAGAAGAUAAUUUUUAUUUAUCUAUGUGUUAAAUUCUGUAGAAAUUAUUUUUGUCUAUCUUAUAGAAAAUAUUUUUUAUUUAUCUUUGUGUUAAAUUAUGUAGAAAUUAAUUUUGUCCGUCUCGUAGAAGAUAUUUUAAAUUUAUCUUUAUGUAAAUUGUGUAGAAAUUAUUAUUGUCCAUCUUAUAGAAGAUGUUUUAAAUUUAUCUUUGUGUUAAAUUGUGUAGAAAUUAUUUUCGUCCAUCUUGUAGAAGAUAUUUUUUAUUUAUCUUUGUGUUAAAUUAUGUAGAAAUUAUUUUUGUCCAUCUCGUAGAAGAUAUUUUUAAUUUAUCUUUAUGUAAAAUGUAGAAAUUAUUUUUCCCAAUCACCUGUACAGAUGUAUUUUAUUAACAUUAAGUUUACAUAAAACUGUACAGUUAAAACUGUACGUAGCGCCUAAUAGUAAAUAAAUAAAUCUUUAUUUAUAAAAACUUCAUAUCACAAUUAGGUUAAAUAAGAUAAUGAUUGAUUUGAUAAUUUUUUUAAAUGUCUCUGGGUUCUGGCCCUUUUGAACUUCUAUAGUCUGAUCAGAAUUAUAAAAAAUCUCAAUUGGUUACAACAUAAAACAUUAUCAAUAAUUACAACACAAAACAUUGCAGUGCAGUGAUUAGCAGCGUGACGGUGUUAACGCUGACUAACAAAGAACUGAACUUAAGUCAUCCAAUACCCUCUUAUUUAUACCAUCCCUGUUGCAACAACUUCGUACAAAUACCUCCUUUUUUAUAAUAAUAUAAAUAAUCAAUAAUAAUACCACAUGUAUUCGAGGAACUCUUAACAUUAUAGAAGAGGUGACAUGGAACUAAUAGUACAAGAUCCAGCAUAAGAAAUAUAUACCCUCAUAUGUUAUUUAUUUGGGAUAAGAAAUAAAUGAUAGAUAAAAUAAUCCUUUGACACAUUUCAAGAAGGUUGCCUAGUAAAAUUGCGACCGCAUUAUUGAUUUUUUUUUUAAUUUAUUUAAUCUACUUCCCUCAAUGUUUAAUUUAAAAAAAUAUACACUAGUUAAAAUAAUAUACCCAACAGAAUUGAA